This is a long non-coding RNA of Mesocricetus auratus (golden hamster), 376 nucleotides long. RefSeq lists it as uncharacterized. The transcript has 3 exons. Lineage: Eukaryota; Metazoa; Chordata; Mammalia; Rodentia; Cricetidae. The record is from RefSeq and is a predicted model, not a curated record.
CUCUCCUGUGGACAGCUUCUUCUUCUUCUUCUUUAUUUUUUUUUUAAAUAAGUGAAACUCUUUGGUUCAUCCUUUCUCUCGGUUUCACAGAGGACUUUUCACGGCGGCUUGUUUGAAGUCAGGGUGCUGUUGAGUAGUGCAAGCCCGGGCCUCACAUCUCAGAACCAACCAGCCUCCCAGAACCACCCUGCCUCCUCCUCGCCAGUUCUGAGACUGCAGUUGUAGACCGCCAUGUCUGGAAAAUGGAUCAGCUUAUGUAGUGACGAAUGAAAUAGUGAACAGUUGUCCUGAGGUUCCGUGUGAAGACUGAACCUGGAGGCAGAGAGCUGGACUUGUCGGGCUCGCAGCUGCCUCUCCGUGGGGCUGUCUGCCCUCA